CCUACGGGAGGCAGCAGUGAGGAAUAUUGGUCAAUGGACGAGAGUCUGAACCAGCCAAGUAGCGUGAAGGAUGACUGCCCUAUGGGUUGUAAACUUCUUUUAUAAAGGAAUAAAACGAGGCACGUGUGCCUUUUUGCAUGUACUUUAUGAAUAAGGAUCGGCUAAAUCCGUGCCAGCAGCCGCGGUAAUACGGAGGAUCCGAGCGUUAUCCGGAUUGAUUGGGUUUAAAGGGAGCGUAGAUGGGUUGUUAAGGAAGUUGUGAAAGUUUGCGGCUCAACCGUAAAAUUGCAAUUGAUACUGGCAGUCUUGAGUACAGUUGAGGUAGGCGGAAUUCGUGGUGUAGCGGUGAAAUGCUUAGAUAUCACGAAGAACCCCGAUUGCGAAGGCAGCUUACUAAACUGUGACUGACAUUGAUGCUCGAAAGUGUGGGUAUCAAACAGGAUUAGAUACCCUUGUAGUC
Molecule: ribosomal RNA, 460 nt
Filed under: uncultured bacterium
Lineage: Bacteria
Description: partial 16S ribosomal RNA
Rfam family: Bacterial small subunit ribosomal RNA
Source: RNAcentral